Molecule: non-coding RNA, 350 nt
Organism: Onthophagus taurus
Lineage: Eukaryota; Metazoa; Arthropoda; Insecta; Coleoptera; Scarabaeidae
Source: RefSeq, a predicted model, not a curated record
AAAAUAACAAAUGGCCGACGUCUUAAGUUGUCAACAAACUCGUUGAAGAAAAAUAGAAUUAAACGUUAUUCAAGAAACCCAAUAAAUCUUUACCCACAAGUUAUGUUAAAUAAUAAAAUAAAAUUAUCAUCCGACUUACUGCGAAAAAGAAAGGAUUGGAGUUCAAUGUGGUAUCUGGAUUCUUCUUACGGGAAAUUGAACUGUUUGUUCUUCGGAAAUAGGGUCUUGGAUAAGAUAAUUCCCUUUUUAUUUUAAUAUCACAUACAUUGGAGUACACGCCAAAUUUCAACAGUGAGUAAAGUUAGAAAAAUUCAAAUUUAAAUCUUCCUCAAAAUAACGUUAAAACCUCA